This 604-nucleotide small RNA is filed under the name Drosophila pseudoobscura pseudoobscura. RNAcentral describes it as "GA31018". Lineage: Eukaryota; Metazoa; Arthropoda; Insecta; Diptera; Drosophilidae. The record is from RNAcentral.
GCUACCUGUGAAUUAAACAUUUAUCAAACAGGCUCUAGUAUAAACACCUGGUCAAUCUGGACAGCGGAUCGAGCCCAUCGAGUUGGCAACGAAGAUCGAUGUUGUUCAAACGGAGGGACAAUCUCUGUGUACGAGACAUAGUAUUAAUCAAGGAGGACCGUUUGCAUUUAAAUGUAUUGCCCCUUAAUCAAAGCACACUGGGAUAUAGGCUAUGGUAUGCGCCCUAUAACAAAACAUUCUCCAUGGAAUGCAUAUGGAAAUUUACUGAACCAAAAGACCAAAACAAUGAUAAGUUGCACUCUUAUCUUUACAGUCAAACUUGUGAUUUGGACAACAAUUCUCGAAACUAUUUUAUUCUAGGGUUGGUCAUGUUAACAAAACUGCUUCAAUGCUUCAUCAUUUUUAAAUUUUACGAUAUCUCAGGAGUGUGGAUCACAAAUUUCACAAUAUACUCAUUUUGAGUAUCGGGUAUAAAAAGAGAAUUAAUGCGUGCCGCAGCACAAUAAUAACAAACAUGUUCUAAGGCCGGAACAUAUUUCUUCUGGGAGCAGUACAAUUUGAAUAAAAUAGAAUACUUCGUUUAAAAUGGUUUAGGCCACCUCUC